AGCGAACGCUGGCGGCAGGCCUAACACAUGCAAGUCGAACGAACUCUUCGGAGUUAGUGGCGGACGGGUGAGUAACACGUGGGAACGUGCCUUUAGGUUCGGAAUAACUCAGGGAAACUUGUGCUAAUACCGAAUGUGCCCUUCGGGGGAAAGAUUUAUCGCCUUUAGAGCGGCCCGCGUCUGAUUAGCUAGUUGGUGAGGUAAAGGCUCACCAAGGCGACGAUCGGUAGCUGGUCUGAGAGGAUGAUCAGCCACAUUGGGACUGAGACACGGCCCAAACUCCUACGGGAGGCAGCAGUGGGGAAUCUUGCGCAAUGGGCGAAAGCCUGACGCAGCCAUGCCGCGUGAAUGAUGAAGGUCUUGGGAUUGUAAAAUUCUUUCACCGGGGACGAUAAUGACGGUACCCGGAGAAGAAGCCCCGGCUAACUUCGUGCCAGCAGCCGCCGUAA
RNAcentral lists this ribosomal RNA (449 nucleotides) under uncultured bacterium. RNAcentral's name for it is "partial 16S ribosomal RNA". It matches the Rfam family "Bacterial small subunit ribosomal RNA", at positions 29 to 523 of the family's 1533-position model. The record is from RNAcentral.